UGGGGAAUAUUGGACGAUGGGCGCAAGCCUGAUCCAGCCAUGCCGCGUGAGUGAUGAAGGCCUUAGGGUUGUAAAGCUCUUUUAUCCGGGACGAUAAUGACGGUACCGGAGGAAUAAGCCCCGGCUAACUUCGUGCCAGCAGCCGCGGUAAUACGAAGGGGGCUAGCGUUGCUCGGAAUCACUGGGCGUAAAGGGCGCGUAGGCGGCGUUUUAAGUUGGGGGUGAAAGCCUGUGGCUCAACCACAGAAUUGCCUUCGAUACUGGGACGCUUGAGUGUGGUAGAGGUUGGUGGAACUGCGAGUGUAGAGGUGAAAUUCGUAGAUAUUCGCAAGAACACCGGUGGCGAAGGCGGCCAACUGGACCAUCACUGACGCUGAGGCGCGAAAGCGUGGGGAGCAAACAGGAUUAGAUACCCUGGUAGUCCACGCUGUAAACGAUGAAUGCCAGCCGUUGGGGGCUUGCCUUUCAGUGGCGCAGCUAACGCUUUGAGCU
This 492-nucleotide ribosomal RNA is filed under the name uncultured Pseudomonadota bacterium. RNAcentral's name for it is "bacterial SSU rRNA". It matches the Rfam family "Bacterial small subunit ribosomal RNA", at positions 355 to 866 of the family's 1533-position model. Lineage: Bacteria; Pseudomonadati; Pseudomonadota. The record is from RNAcentral.